GUACUGGAAUACCUGAGUUUUGGCUGGGCACAGAACUGUCUGGAAUACAGACUGCAAUUCCCAGCCUUCUGUGCAGUUCUGUGUGGCCAUGUGACUAAGUUGUGGUCAAUAUGAGUCACGGAAGAAUAGAAGAACAACUCAGAGGAGGAAGAAGUCAGACAUAGCCAGACACGGCUGCUAGCAGUUCCACCAAUGAAAGAGGAGACCAGGAUGUUUAAAACAGGCAAACACAAGGUGCGAAAAACCAGAAGCGAAAACUUCUGAGGUCAUUUAAGCAAGGACUAUCGUUAUCCCCGGAAGCAGAGAGAAGUUCCCUUUGCCCAACAUCACACUGCAAGCACGUGUUGGAGCUGAGAUUCAAACCCAGGCAUCCAGGGUCCAGGGCCCAUGCUUUUAAUAUAUUCCAUAUCUUAGGAGAAUUUCCCCUAUUUAAACAAUAAAAGUGCAAAAAUCUUGUGGCUAGCCAAAA
This 469-nucleotide long non-coding RNA is filed under the name Homo sapiens (human). RNAcentral's name for it is "non-protein coding lnc-WDR70-7:18". Lineage: Eukaryota; Metazoa; Chordata; Mammalia; Primates; Hominidae. The record is from RNAcentral.